This 253-nucleotide ribosomal RNA is filed under the name uncultured bacterium. RNAcentral describes it as "partial 16S ribosomal RNA". It matches the Rfam family "Bacterial small subunit ribosomal RNA", at positions 524 to 776 of the family's 1533-position model. The record is from RNAcentral.
UACGGAGGGUGCAAGCGUUGUUCGGAAUUACUGGGCGUAAAGCGCACGUAGGUGGCUUUGCAAGUCGAUUGUGAAAUCCCCGGGCUUAACCUGGGAACUGCAGUCGAGACUGCUUUGCUUGAGUAUGGGAGAGGGAGGUGGAAUUUCCGGUGUAGCGGUGAAAUGCGUAGAUAUCGGAAGGAACAUCAGUGGCGAAGGCGACCUCCUGGACCAAUACUGACACUCAAGUGCGAAAGCGUGGGGAGCAAACAGG